CUGUCCAGGAGGUGCCGUUUAUAAAGAUAGCAUACAAACAUAGGAAUAUAGCACAGUGAUUAUAUUUUAUACAAGCAAGGUCUAAAUUUGUUAAAUUUCUAGCAUAGUAAAGAGAAGCCACAUUUGUAGCAAAAUAACGAGAAAGUUAAUAAUCCCCCUUAUUCAUGUAGCAUUAUAUGAACCUAGUAUAAAUAGUGAACCACUUAUUAUAACUAUAUUGGAAAAAUU
Molecule: non-coding RNA, 228 nt
Organism: Pelobates cultripes (western spadefoot toad)
Lineage: Eukaryota; Metazoa; Chordata; Amphibia; Anura; Pelobatidae
Source: the annotation of a GenBank genome assembly